This 3787-nucleotide long non-coding RNA is filed under the name Strongylocentrotus purpuratus (purple sea urchin). RNAcentral's name for it is "uncharacterized LOC115922572". Lineage: Eukaryota; Metazoa; Echinodermata; Echinoidea; Camarodonta; Strongylocentrotidae. The record is from RNAcentral.
ACAAAAAUACUAAUGUAUGAUCAAGAUCAUUUUGAAAAUGACAGGCAAGUCGUAGAUUCCUUUGCAUUAUCUAUCAAUUAUUUAUAAACAUGUUUGUAGCACAGAAAGAUAGGAUUCCGGGUGUUCACCUUGUGUCGUUCCUAGCCGCCUCGACAUAUGCACAGGGGGGACCACCAAGGACCUGAAGCUUGCCAGUUGUCGGGUUGCUUGACGGCCCAUCACCCAUGACAGGAAGUAAAUGGACCUGCCGAAUAUCUACUCUCUCCAAAUGUCGCUUGGCGGCAAUAAUCUCCUUUCUGGACCUUGGCCUCUGAAGGUCCCGAUUUGCCUCUAUUAGAUUGGAAAGAGACACCUCGUAUGACCCUGCAUAAAAAAAUUAUUAUUUUGGUUUACAACAGCAUGUUAGGCUCCAUAUAUAACUGAAUAUCUGGGAUAUUGAGAAAUAAAAGGGUGCAGUCAAGUCUUUACAUCCAUAAAAUUCCUAUUUAAUUUGCUCUUCUUUGUAAAGUUUAAUUUCUAUAAGCUCUACAAUAACAUUGGUUAGCAAUCGGAUCUGAUUAAUCGAUAUAGCAAAGAGAUGUACUAGGAACACAUUCAAUCUCAUGAACUACCAAGGUAUGCAAAAUUUGCAUAAGGUCAGGUUACCAUGACAUUCAUUGAAAUAUAAAUUUAAAAAAAAUUGAGGUAAAAAUUGUUUGAAGGAGAGAGUUCACAAACCUUUACACUUUGCCGAGAUGGCCUUAUCUAAAUCUCCAAGUGAUGGUAGCGGUAUCUGUUGGUCUGAGUCGUCAGAGCUAGUUGACAACCUACUGCAUGUUCGUUGACCUGUGUACAUUGCAGGGAUUGAAAACUAAAUAUUCCGUUCUCUGAGCAAGAUAUACAAGUAGACAAUUAAAAAAGAAUGUUGAGGUAUGCAUAAUAGUUAACAACAUAAUAUUAAAGGGGAGUGUAUCAUGGUCUAGUGCUUUUGUAAAUUGACUAGCGUUCAAAGGAGGGAAAAAUGUCUUAGAUUACAUUGAAGGCAGACUCAAAAUGAUUGAUCUGGAGAAGUUAAUACAAAGGUUCAGAUUGAGGUGGCUACCGGGUAGGUAGAUUAUUUAGAUGACAAGAAUGGUUAUCCCAAAGAUAUUGCUGUGUACACUAAGCUUGGAGGACUGAAAUUGCUUUAGAACUGCUCUAUUAGGUUGAAAAUGAUGAACAAUUACUUUGUUCAUAAAAUUCCUCCUUUUACAUUGAAAUUCUGAAAGCCUGCAUGGUCACUUUAUUCUUGGCGGAAGUUUGCCAUCUUUCUUGAUGCCAAAGAUUUGGGUUUGGAGAUACAAAAAGAAGUUAUCGGCUGGCACAGGGUAUUCCAGGUUAAAGACAUGAUAGCUCUUGAAUAGUAUGUCGAAAGCGUUGGUGAUGUUGCCAGCUGGGAGAGGAGAUGCAUAAUCCUCUACUUGAAGGAAGAUCUGUUCUAUGUUGCUCUUUGCUCCAAACAAGAAAAGGGAGGGCUGACUGGUAUUGGUGUCCUUCAUACAUUCUGAAAAAGGCUUGUCUACGUGUUCAUAGUAGUGAGUAAUAAGAAGUAAAACAAAUCAUGACCUUAUUGCUUCACGAAGCAAUCAUCUCCUUUAGGAGCACAAGGUUUUUUCCUCCUCUUGUGGGUGGGUCUCCUAACUUUUCUCUUCACCUUCCUCCGCACAUAGCGGCUCCUGGCUCCCUGAAGCUUCACUGAACUCUGAGUGUGCGCUUUUUCCCAUCCUAUCUCCUUAUAGGGUAUGAGGAUAGCUGUCCAGUAGUGCGGGAUAUACCGAUUAGGUUGCAGCUGUGGAGGCUCCUCUGCCCUACACAGACAUCUUGGCAGCCUGAAACCAUCCAGAAACAGGAUGUCCUGUUUCGGCCUCCAUUUUUUACUUUGUCUUUGGCGUGGUGCACCUUUUUUUUCUUCUUCGAUAAAUAUAAAUAUAAAUGUCAAGAUUUGUCUCUUUCCAUGGGUUGCACUGUUUUUUCACCUUCCUUGGUGUCCACAACCUCUGCAGCUCAACUGGUUGUUUUGUUUUGUGUAUUUUUGGUUUAAAAGAACCUGCAACCAGUCUAAAUACAAACUCUUCAAAGUGGUCCGAUAAAACCUUCGCACCUUCUCUAUUUACAUGUAUAUGCAGUCCAUCUCUAGAAUAGAGACUAUCGUCACAAUUAAAGUCAGCGUUAUUUUCAAAAUAAUAACAAUUGUUGUUUUUCAAACAAAAGUGCUCUAAAUCAUAGUUAUAUACAACACUUAGAUUGUCCAGUUCCUCACUGUCCCAUCGAGGCAGAAUGGAAGAAAAAUAAUAUCACAGCUUCUAAAGUGAAAAAUAACCCUUGAUGUCUUUAGACCAAAAACUCUUGGCUAAAUAAAAAGUACAAAGUUGAUAGUAUGAUUAAUUAUAUCUCCAAAAGUUGUAAUAAUAUUCUGACGCAGCAAUUGAACGGUAGCCCCUGGGCCGGGGGCAAAAAACCGGUCCCGUGACAUGAUGCUCUUGAUGCCAAGAUUAAGCAGUGCGUUUGUACUCCACACUAGGUUGUAAGCCGGCAAGCGGACAAGGCCGAUGUACAUGAAGAUUCCUAAAAAAACGGCCCUCAUCUCUGCUGGAUCAGUUGGAAUCCAGAUCCUUGCCCUUGACCGAGGAGGCAAGUUUUCUUUCCCUCCUACUCUCCUGAAAUACUGGUCAGCAUAACGAUUAAUCUCCACCACUAUUCUAUCAAUUAUCUCUGCUGACAAGAAGUCCGAAAAAACUUCACUGGGUGUGACUUCAUCAAGAGGUCCAACACGAUGACCAAAUGCACGACACCACUAAAAAGACUAGUGACACAAAUCAAGAUUGAAAGAAUUCUGUCCAGAAAUGUGACUGCUACAUCUGCUGCUCAAUCCAAAGGUAGCUUUUGCAUUGAUAACUAUGGAUUGUACUGAUGGAAAGCAAAUUAACCCAUUGGCUACAGGAACCAGGUGGUCCCUGUGUUAAACCUAUGAUAGUCAGAGCCAUCAGUAGCCAAUGGGUAACAAAUUUUAUGUCCAGAUUGAUGCCAACUAUUACUUCAAUUGGAUUAGUCCUCUAUAUUUACCUUUUUGAACACGUCGAGUUCCACUAGAAGAGCACGGAGUCCAAGGAGACACUGAUUCUUGUUCUCCCUACCACAGUUAUCCAUUUGAAGGUAUAAUGUAUCUGGUAGCGUGGUAGAAUAUUUAUGAAGAACCUGGAGAAGGAUCGUUGCCGUAAGGUUCGAAUCAUGUGGGUAUUCUUUGCUGUCAAGGAACAUGUGUUGUCCCCUCCCAUGUACUAUUGUUCCGGUGAUGUGUGAUGGAAGUCUCCAUGCUGAUGAAACUGAUUUGGACGUUCUGUAAAAUUUGGGUAUACUUGUGGAUUUCUGGUCCAUUUCGUCAAUAAUGAUGCUGAUAUACUUGUCUGGAUGUUGUCUUGCUUUUUGCGCAUGUUUGUAGUACUUCCUUCUUUCAGUUCUGUAUAAAUGAUACAAAAAUUAAAAAAUGUAACUAAAUAUGACAUGGAUGAAAAGACAUAUUUUCCAGGAAUAUGAUUUUACAUAUACUAAAUGGUAAAGAACAUUGGACAAUGCAGUAAAUGAAAGCUUUAAUGACAUUUUGAUACAUGUAUAUAACAUGAUCAUACAUGUAAACGAGAGUGUAAAGGAGAUUUGAAAGUAUUAGGGGUUAUAAAACUAUUAAUACUGCUACAAUGUACUUCUUCCACAACUCUGUUUUCCUGAUGAGAACUUGGCUUGACCAUCACACAAACUAAUGCAGAAGAGGAAU